Molecule: long non-coding RNA, 476 nt
Filed under: Gossypium raimondii (Peruvian cotton)
Lineage: Eukaryota; Viridiplantae; Streptophyta; Magnoliopsida; Malvales; Malvaceae
Description: long non-coding RNA (GRAI_LNC009883)
Source: RNAcentral
AAGCCAAAAUCAACAUUCAAAAGAAACCUAUCAGAUUUGAGAAGUUCAAAUCAUUACUCCCAAAAUUUUGGUGGGUGAGCAUUCUUCUCUUGAAUCUGGGUUUGGGUUUGAAUCUAGGUUUGUACUUCAGAAAAGUCACUCACCUUGACUUUUUGAGGCCUCUUAUGAUGUUCUUUCGUUCAAAUUUGAUCUGAAGCAUUUAAGUCGAAUUAUUCAAUCGAUAAACGUGUGAGAAUUAGAGGUUGCUUUCAAGAUUUACAGAGUUUGUCGACAAAAACGUAAGAGAUUCGUAAACGAAUUGGAAGAUUUAAUGAAACACAAUGAGAUUCAAAAUUGAAGAGUUUUAAUAAAUUGAAAUGAGAAUUCUUACCAAACUUUUGACGAAUUUAUGGGAUGUGAUUGACGGAACUCAACAACCGGUAGAAAAAUGAGCUGAAAUUGGGAAUAGAUUUUAAUUUGGGAACAAAGAUAAUUAU